This 949-nucleotide ribosomal RNA is filed under the name uncultured soil bacterium. RNAcentral's name for it is "SSU rRNA". It matches the Rfam family "Bacterial small subunit ribosomal RNA". The record is from RNAcentral.
CAGAUCGGACUUCCAGAUUCGCCCUUAGAGUUUGAUCCUGGCUCAGGAUAAACGCUGGCGGCGUGCCUAACACAUGCAAGUCGAACGCGCAUACAGCAAUGUAUGCGAGUGGCGGACGGGUGAGGAACACGUGGGUUAUCUACCUUGAGGUGAGGAAUACCGGCGAGAAAUCGCCGACAAUACCGCAUGAAUCCGGGAAACCGGGCAAAGUCCCAGCAAUGGGACGCCCCAAGAUGAGCCUGCGUCCGAUUAGCCAGGUUGGUGGGGUAAUGGCCUACCAAAGCGACGAUCGGUAGCUGGUCUGAGAGGACGAUCAGCCACACUGGGAUUGAGAACGGCCCAGACUCCUACGGGGGGCAGCAGUGAGGAAUUUUCGUCAAUGGGGGAAACCCUGAACGAGCAACGCCGCGUGCAGGAAGAAGGUUUUCGGAUCGUAAACUGCUUUUCCUGGGGAAGAGAACGGACGGUACCCAGGGAAUAAGCCCCGGCUAACUACGUGCCAGCAGCCGCGGUAAUACAGAGGGUGCAAGCGUUAAUCGGAAUUACUGGGCGUAAAGCGCACGUAGGUGGGUGCUUAAGUCGAAUGUGAAACCCCCGAGCUUAACUUGGGGACUGCAUGCGAUACUGAACACCUAGAGUAUAGUAGAGGGAAGUGGAAUUUCCGGAGUAGCGGUGAAAUGCGUAGAUAUCGGAAGGAACACCAGUGGCGAAGGCGGCUUCCUGGCCAGCACUGACGCUCAUGCACGAAAGCGUGGGGAGCAAACAGGAUUAGAUACCCUGGUAGUCCACGCCCUAAACGAUGUCAACUGAUGUGGUGGGGUAAACCAUAGUACGAGCUACGCGUGAGUGACGCUGGGGAGUACGCGCAGUAAACUCAAAGAUGAUGGGACCGACAGCGUGGAUGAUGUGAUCAUCGAUGCACGUAAGACUACCUACCUUGACAUGGCAG